Small nuclear RNA from Medicago truncatula (barrel medic), 121 nucleotides. It matches the Rfam family "U5 spliceosomal RNA". From Rfam's summary of the family: U5 RNA is a component of both types of known spliceosome. The record is from Rfam. NCBI's taxonomy places the organism in Eukaryota, Viridiplantae, Streptophyta, Magnoliopsida, Fabales, Fabaceae.
UAGCCGUGUGAUGAUGACAUAGCGAACUAUUCUUUCGCCUUUUACUAAAGAAUACUGUAUCAGCGUCACAAAUAGUGGCAUAUGAAGAUGAAGUGUUUGAAUAGUUGAAGAAAUUAAAAAG